GGGGAAUAUUGGACAAUGGACCAAGAGUCUGAUCCAGCAAUUCUGUGUGCACGAUGACGUUUUUCGGAAUGUAAAGUGCUUUCAGUUGGGAAGAAAAAAAUGACGGUACCAACAGAAGAAGUGACGGCUAAAUACGUGCCAGCAGCCGCGGUAAUACGUAUGUCACAAGCGUUAUCCGGAUUUAUUGGGCGUAAAGCGCGUCUAGGUGGUUAUGUAAGUCUGAUGUGAAAAUGCAGGGCUCAACUCUGUAUUGCGUUGGAAACUGUGUAACUAGAGUACUGGAGAGGUAAGCGGAACUACAAGUGUAGAGGUGAAAUUCGUAGAUAUUUGUAGGAAUGCCGAUGGGGAAGCCAGCUUACUGGACAGAUACUGACGCUGAAGCGCGAAAGCGUGGGUAGCAAACAGGAUUAGAUACCCUGGUAGUCCACGCCGUAAACGAUGAUUACUAGGUGUUGGGGGUCGAACCUCAGCGCCCAAGCAAACGCGAUAAGUAAUCCGCCUGGGGAGUACGUGCGCAAGUAUG
This 523-nucleotide ribosomal RNA is filed under the name uncultured bacterium. RNAcentral's name for it is "bacterial SSU rRNA". It matches the Rfam family "Bacterial small subunit ribosomal RNA", at positions 356 to 896 of the family's 1533-position model. The record is from RNAcentral.